RNAcentral lists this ribosomal RNA (432 nucleotides) under uncultured bacterium. Its description in RNAcentral is "partial 16S ribosomal RNA". It matches the Rfam family "Bacterial small subunit ribosomal RNA", at positions 29 to 506 of the family's 1533-position model. The record is from RNAcentral.
AGCGAACGCUGGCGGCAGGCCUAACACAUGCGAGUCGAACGAACUCUUCGGAGUUAGUGGCGGACGGGUGAGUAACACGUGGGAACGUGCCUUUUGGUUCGGAAUAACUCAGGGAAACUUGUGCUAAUACCGAAUGUGCCCUUCGGGGGAAAGAUUUAUCGCCAUUAGAGCGGCCCGCGUCUGAUUAGCUAGUUGGUGAGGUAACGGCUCACCAAGGCGACGAUCAGUAGCUGGUCUGAGAGGAUGACCAGCCACACUGGGACUGAGACACGGCCCAGACUCCUCCGGGAGGCAGCAGUGGGGAAUUUUGCGCAAUGGGCGAAAGCCUGACGCAGCCAUGCCGGGUGAAUGAUGAAGGUCUUAGGAUUGUAAAAUUCUUUCACCGGGGACGAUAAUGACGGUACCCGGAGAAGAAGCCCCGGCGAACUUCGU